GAAUGAAGAGGGAAAGCAACCACACACCUGCAUCCAUAACCACGCGUCGUUGAUAAUAGGUAAAGGGAAUGAACAGGGAAAGCAACCACACACCUGCAUCCAUAACCACGCGUCGUUGCCUUAGGAUCUUUGAUCCCACGUGUUCAUUCCCUCUACCUGUUAUGUUAAAGAGUUAUGAACAAUAGAGAGAGAGAUUGAAGGGUUGGACCGGUGACCUCCCUACGGAUGCAUUUGGAGUCGAUUGACCAGUGUUUGGUGGUGAACGAUCACGGCAGUAGUCACGAGAGUGAUACGAUGACGGUUUAAGAGGGGAAUCCGUUGGUGGCGGGUGCAAAGGCGUUCUUGGAUCGACUUGAACUUCCGGCGAAUAAACCCAGGUUUCUGGCGAAGCUCCGUUGAACCGAUCAAGACUUGCAUGUUUCAGAUCUCUGUUAAUCGGAAGGGUUUAUAGGGAAGUACAUAGGAGUGGGGUCGGAGGGGUCGGAUUCGAGAUAACAUCUCAUGUCCAGAAGGGGCAACAAGCUGAGAAAACUGAGGUGCUGGGCUGGGUCAGUUGGCCACAAAUCUCAAACCAAUGGUCAUAACCAGAAGAUCCGCAACCACAAAAUGUUCAAUCGUCAAUGCCUCCCACUUCAAAACCCUAAAUCCUCUACAACAGCAACAAGUCCACCUCUACAUUGACGCUCUUCUCGAUUGGAACCAGAAAAUGAAUCUCACAGCGGUUAGAGAUGCAAAUGAUGUUAUGGAUAGGCACAUUGAGGACUCACUUGCAAUUAUACCUCCGAUUCGAAGCUCGUAUGUAUCGAAUUGUGAUACUACCGUUGAAAAACUUAAUUUGGUAGAUGUUGGAAGUGGUGCUGGACUUCCUGGAUUGAUAUUAGCCAUUGCUUGUCCCGUUGAGCCAUGUUUUUGGAAACCAGGUGUAUGGCUUAUGUCAACCCACUUAGCACGCAUAAAAAACCCACCGUCUGCUCCAUCGACAAAGAGAGAAGAAACUGAAGAGAUGGGAGACAGAAACGGAGUAGGCUCACCGGCGUCGACAUGACAGAGGGGAUCCGCCGUGCAUGGCGGCAGGGUUUACGGCAGCUCUCCGGCGUCCACAACAGGUUAUGUAUUCUUAUAUCUUUUCAGUUACUGUUGGUUAAAACCCCUCUUUUUCACUUUCAAAAUUCUAUCUUUUUUUUGUAUUGAUUCAUCAAGAGCAGAACAUGGCCAUAUUAAAUGAGGAUGCAGUGGUGAUUAAAGAAGCAUAACAGUAGUAGACAACACUCUCAUCACUGCAAAUUGUUCAAAUAAAACAUGCCUCGGUGGGCACCGGCUUCAAGCAAAAGAUUCAACUUCACACACACUAAAAACGCCUCAACAAACCCUCUUUAAAAAUUAUUAAGGUUGGAGAUGAAAAACAUGUGAUGGCGAUUUAUUUGUGUGCUUACCUUUGGUUGAGCAUCAAUGUAUAGUUGGUACCCUAUCAAGAUGAUACAUAUUAGAUAUUACUCAAAGGUUAUGUCUCUUAGUCUCAUAUUGCGUUUUAAAAGCGAUAUGUCUCUAGAAUCAAAAGGGGAUAGACUAGGCAAAUCAUGUAAUCAAGAGUCACUUAUUUUAUGUUAUUAAAAGAAAAGUAAAGGGUAAAAUACAAAGUCUGCCACUUAUGUUUAGAGUGAUUUGUUGAUAAUUCCUUUAAUUUUAAUAAAUAUAAAUCGUCCCUAAAGUUUAUAUAGUAAUUUGCAGAUGAUGUCCUUUAUUUUUAAUAAGUACAUUGACUGAAUCUUAAGCUUGCCUAGGACCUCCUAAAGGUUGAACCUCUCCUACUAACGACUAUGUAUAGGCUUCAACUUUUUAUUCACAAGAAGAGAAAGAAAGUGAGGCUGCUGCAAUUGGAGAUAAGGUGAUUAGGCAGCUUAUUCGGGAGAUUAUAUGUGUUUAAUUACGUUAUAAGGAUUCAAUGGACGCACGCGUGCCACCAUGAAUUCAGGUACGAAGAGUCGCCGAAUGGACCAAAGAAAUGGGGAUCUCUUGGUGCGGAAUUCAAAUCUGGCUCGGAUAGGGAACCGCAGUCUCCUGUUAAUAUCGAGUUUAAAAAAAAGCAAAAGAUCAACCAAGUGACUUGAAAAGGUCUUACACAGUAGUCCUUGCAAACUUUUCAAUAGAGGCCACACUAUCAUGAUAUUGUUAUUGUUUAGGUUGAAUUUGUAUUGAGCAUGGGUUGAAUGACAAAGGGAUGCAUGAGGAAGAGAGGUGAAUGGUUCAACAUACCAGCUAAUGCCAUUGGCAUACACCUUCUGAGCACACUAUUGACGGGAUAAGCAUGUCGAAUCGCCUUCGAUCUUAUGGGCAUGGACUAUAUGCAUUUUGUUGACAAGUUGAUUAAGUUGUUGUGCAUCAUUUUCUUUUGUUUUUAUAGGUAUGAAGCAGAAAUAUAUUUCGUUCAUAUCAAUGACGAAUAUCAAAACGCUGCCAUUGUCAUUAUUUAAACCAUCCUUUUAUUGAAAAGGUAGCACCUUUUCUGAAACAUGCAAAAGGAAGCAUAACAAGGAUGAUUUGGUCAUAGGUAAGGUAGGUGGUGUUUCAUGAAGAAGUUGGUAACAAUUUAGAAAUUGUAUUUGUAACUACAUAGAAGUUAUGUAUUUGUAACAGUUAUAUUUAAUAGAUUUGUAUAUUUUACAAGUGUC
RNA transcript from Helianthus annuus (common sunflower), 2669 nucleotides. It is a transcript of the gene named ribosomal RNA small subunit methyltransferase G, with no coding region annotated. The record is from RefSeq and is a predicted model, not a curated record. NCBI's taxonomy places the organism in Eukaryota, Viridiplantae, Streptophyta, Magnoliopsida, Asterales, Asteraceae. The transcript is spliced from 7 exons.